CAGUAGGGAAUCUUCCACAAUGGACGCAAGUCUGAUGGAGCAACGCCGCGUGAGUGAAGAAGGGUUUCGGCUCGUAAAGCUCUGUUGUUAAAGAAGAACGUGGGUAAGAGUAACUGUUUACCCAGUGACGGUAUUUAACCAGAAAGCCACGGCUAACUACGCGCCAG
Molecule: ribosomal RNA, 167 nt
Filed under: uncultured bacterium
Lineage: Bacteria
Description: partial 16S rRNA
Rfam family: Bacterial small subunit ribosomal RNA
Source: RNAcentral